Molecule: small nuclear RNA, 141 nt
Organism: Alligator mississippiensis (American alligator)
Lineage: Eukaryota; Metazoa; Chordata; Crocodylia; Alligatoridae
Rfam family: U4 spliceosomal RNA
About the family: U4 small nuclear RNA (U4 snRNA) is a component of the major U2-dependent spliceosome. The structure of U4 snRNA from yeast and human has been reported.
Source: Rfam
AUCUUUGUGCAGUGGCAGUAUCAUAGCCUGUGAAGUUGAGCUGAGGCGUGAUUUUUGCUAGUUGAAAACUUUUCCCAAUACCCUGCCCUAGCAGCUUGCAAUAUAGCUGUGGUGGGCAAUUUUUGGCAGCCUCUGUAGAGG